Molecule: non-coding RNA, 107 nt
Organism: Mus musculus (house mouse)
Lineage: Eukaryota; Metazoa; Chordata; Mammalia; Rodentia; Muridae
Source: Rfam
GUGCUCUCUUCAGCUGCACAUAUACUAAAACUGGAACGAUAAAGAGAAGAUUAGCAUGGCCUCUGUGCUAGGAUGACAUGCAAAUUCGUGAAGCGUUCCAUAUUUUU